RNAcentral lists this microRNA precursor (111 nucleotides) under Populus trichocarpa (black cottonwood). Its description in RNAcentral is "miR7812 stem-loop (ptc-MIR7812)". The record is from miRBase by way of RNAcentral. Lineage: Eukaryota; Viridiplantae; Streptophyta; Magnoliopsida; Malpighiales; Salicaceae.
GAUGAUGCCACUCCAUCAAUUCAUAGUGGCACUUCACAAAUUGUGAAAUAAAUGUAUUUGAAUAUUAGCUAAAGUGAAGUGCUGUUAUGAAUUGAUGGAGUGCCAUUAUCA